RNAcentral lists this ribosomal RNA (253 nucleotides) under uncultured bacterium. RNAcentral describes it as "partial 16S ribosomal RNA". It matches the Rfam family "Bacterial small subunit ribosomal RNA", at positions 524 to 776 of the family's 1533-position model. The record is from RNAcentral.
UACGAGUGCCCCAAGCGUUAUCCGGAAUCAUUGGGCGUAAAGGGUGUGUAGGUGGCGAUGUUAGUCUUCUGUCAAAUUCUUCGGCUUAACCGGGGGUCCGCAGGGGAAACGGCAUUGCUCGAGGAUGCGAGGGGUGAAUGGAACUCAUGGAGUAGGGGUGAAAUCCGUUGAUAUCAUGGGGAACACCAAAAGCGAAGGCAAUUCACUGGCGCAUUCCUGACACUGAAACACGAAAGCGUGGGGAGCGAACAGG